Anguilla rostrata (American eel) is the source of this 1898-nucleotide long non-coding RNA. RefSeq lists it as uncharacterized. The transcript has 3 exons. The record is from RefSeq and is a predicted model, not a curated record. NCBI's taxonomy places the organism in Eukaryota, Metazoa, Chordata, Actinopteri, Anguilliformes, Anguillidae.
AGCUCAAUCUGCUGGAGAUAAUUUGUUUGCUUUGCAAUUAUUUUCCAUCACUGGAGACAAAUUGAUUCACUGGGCAAAACUGACGAUCACUGCGAGGCAGUUGGCUUCCUGAAGAGCAGGAAACCGGCAAGCUCGCGCCGUUUCUUUCGCACGCGGGCUCUUGAACCAGCACUGUUCAUGUAUGAGUUGUUCACGAUCAGCUGAUUGGGGGGGAAAAAUCUAUAUGGCAUUAACUACUAUGAGACUGCAGUAUAUUUGGUGUUUGGUUUUUCUGUCUGCCUGGGUUGUAAUUUCAAUGUCCCCAGUCAAUCCCUUUAAUCUUGUUUUUAUUGUAUUUUUUUACAAGGUUAAUGCAUGCAUGAUUGAUUGAUUGAUUGACUGCUUGAUAGACUUGAUCCCUUGUGGGAUAUACACAGUGUUUCUAAACACCAGAAUACAGAUUCUACACAUUGUUCCUGGACACUUUAAACAUUGUUCGUUUAAAAAAUAAAAAGCGAAAAACAUUUCCCAACACCGUGUGGAAUUCGGUUUCAGUUUCAUCUGAUAAAGAAAGUCACGCCAACUUAUUCGGUUUAAAUGAUCCAGUUUUUUUUUUUCAGUUCAAUUACAGCUGACUGGACUAAUACUAAAGGUAAACUUAACACAGCACACGGUGGUCAAAGUUCAAAUUUAAGGGCUUAGGUUUUGCUCUGUAGGUGUGAGAGUGAACGUUAUGCGCAUAGGUCACGUUUCAAAGUCUGGAAGGAUCUUGCUCCGAGCCGCAUGGCUAACUCUCCCCCGCUGUCCAUGUGAGAGGAGGUCCGAGGUCACCAAUUACUUGGGAAGGCUGAGAAAGCUGUAUGAAGCCGCUCUCAGCUGCCAUCCAGCAUUAGCGUCAAGCAGCUUGCAGUUCUGCAGUUCGGGGCAAAAGCGUAAUCCUGAAAAAACCAGCCAGGCAACAAAAACUGCCAAAUAGAAGAAUGCAAAGCAUAUGGACUCAUCACACCCCUGUAAGCCCUGGACCUCACACCAUUCCACAACACCUUUACCUGCUGGGCUUUGGUGUAUGUGCACUGCAAGUUUACUGCUGUCUACAAAAUAAGCGUUUCCAGCGCGGCUACAGCUUGCUAUCUGGCACAGAGACACUCUCUGCUGGGAGAGAGGAAGAACCUGCAGCCUAAAACUGUUCCAGUUAAUUCCCAGUGACGUGAGGGGAGCAGACAGGCGAGAGGAACAAGCCCUUGAGUCAUGUAAAAUGCAAAAGAAAUACUACUUCAUUGCAGUCUUCAGAUUGGCGAGGGCUAACAGAACCUUUAAACCUAACCAAACCAAGCCAUUAAAACAGUCGCUAAGCAUAAUUCUGAAUCCGGCUGUGUCUAUUUGCCUGUGCUUCAUACGUGUACCUCCCUCUCUCUCUCUCUCUCUCUCACUCACUCACUCACUCACUCACACACACACACACACACACACACGCAGCCUUGAAAAAUGCCUAGUUGAAUUGGAUAUGUAGACAACAAAUAACACUUCUUAUAAAGGACAUUUGUGACAGAAUUCUAAAUUUAUGGUAUAUCUUCAUCUUAAUUUUGUUUAUGUGCACCCCAUAAAGAGAUUUUGUUUGGACAUUUUCAUUAACAAUUGUUCCCCUUUAUUCACCAUAAUUUGGGAUCACCUAGUUAGCACAUGAUUGCUUCCCAAGGUACACAAAAUAAUAAAUAAAUAAAUAAAUAAAAAUCAAGCAAUUCCAUUUGUGGCAAGGCUCAUCCAUAAACAGUGAAAUUCAGCUAUGUGAAUUAGUACUGUUUGGCGUUCUUUGACAUUGAUAAACAGAGAUUUUUAAAAAUGUUUGCAGGCAAUCGAACAUCAAAAUUUUAAUGCAUUAACUAUGGGGAAAUAUUCGAGCUCAUCAGCUCUGCUUAUUU